UUAAAUUGAAGAGUUUGAUCAUGGCUCAGAUUGAACGCUGGCGGCAGGCCUAACACAUGCAAGUCGAACGGUAACAGGAAGCAGCUUGCUGCUUUGCUGACGAGUGGCGGACGGGUGAGUAAUGUCUGGGAAACUGCCUGAUGGAGGGGGAUAACUACUGGAAACGGUAGCUAAUACCGCAUAACGUCGC
This 190-nucleotide ribosomal RNA is filed under the name Escherichia coli MP1. Its description in RNAcentral is "partial 16S ribosomal RNA". It matches the Rfam family "Bacterial small subunit ribosomal RNA", at positions 1 to 182 of the family's 1533-position model. Lineage: Bacteria; Pseudomonadati; Pseudomonadota; Gammaproteobacteria; Enterobacterales; Enterobacteriaceae. The record is from RNAcentral.